UUGUUUCGUUCUUUUAUAUUCACUUUGUGUUUGCGUUCUAUUUUGGGAUGAAGAAUUCAACAAGUUGUUCAAGCAAUUUAUUUUUCAACACAAGGUUUCUGGGAUUAUAAUAUAGAGGGAAAAGAAAAGCGAAGAGAUGAUAGAAAUUCAUUUGUCUGUCAAUCCGCUGAUAUUCUUUGAUGUUAGUUCAUGGAUCCCAACAGGUUCUGAUCGCUUUCAUAUUUCCCUCUCUUGCUUGAUUUCUUGAUUUCUUGAGUUUCUCGAUUUGUUGAAUCAAUUAUUUAGGGUUUUUGAAUUGUUAUCAGAAUUGGGCAAAUGAUGAACCUGAAAUUGUGUAAAUGGGUAAUUUGCAUCUGAAUAUGGUUGAUGUUAAUAUAACCUUGGAGAACUGAUGCCCUAAAUUCUAUGGAUUUUUAUGUUUCUUAGUUUGUUUCUGUGUUUUGAUCCCUAUAAUGAAUCGGUCUUUGCUACAUGAAUGGAUCACUAGAUUUGCGAUUGAAUUAUAUUAUUAUUGUUCCUUAAUUGGCACUAAUAACACUGUCAUAGUUGAAUUUUGAGGGGAGGUAAUAGAAAUGUUGGUUGUGAUUGCGAGAGAUCGAAAGAAUCCUGACCCGAAUAACAUAAAUUUCAAGUUUAUUAAGUAGUUUUGGGAAAGCGUAUUUUCACAUAUUUAUGGCUGAAUUUCAUUUUAAUGGCAAAAUAGUGUGUUUAGUUAAUAAUGAUUUUUUAGAAUUGAUUACAAAGAUUGAGAAUUCUGUGGCGUUAAAACAUUCCAAUGUCAAAAUAGUGUGUUGAGCUAAUAAUGCGUUUUUAGCAUUGAUUCCAAAGAUUGAGAAUUCGGUGACACUAAACUAUUCUAAUGGAAAAAUAGUGUGUAGAGCUAAUAAUGCAUUUUUAGCAUUGAUUCCAAAGAGUGAGAAUUCGGUGACGCUAAACUAUUCUAAUGGCAAAAUAAUGUGUAGAGCUAAUAAUACUUUUGUAGCAUUGAUUCCAAAGAUUGAGAAUUCGGUGACGCCAAACUAUUCUAAUUGCAAAAUAGUGUGUAGAGCUAAUAAUGCUUUUGUAGCAUUGAUUCCAAAGAUUGAGAAUUCGGUGACGCUAAACUAUUCUAAUGGCAAAAUAGUGUGUAGAGCUAAUAAUGUUUUUUUUACCAUUAAUUCCAAAGAUUAAGAAUUCUGAUGGCAAAAUAGUGUGUAGUCAUAAUAACUUUUUUUUUCUUUGGUUCAUAUUCUGGUUUUCUGUUUGCAAAAUAGUGUGUAGUAGACAAGCUGUAAGUUAUAUUUUGUGUUGCUUUCGGGAGUAGUAUCUCAUGCAUGGGAUUCGUAUUCUAAUGGCAUAUAUUAUGCCUUGCAACUUUUUCUUGAAUUUAAUGUUACGACCUUUUAAAAAAAAUAAUUGAUAUUCAAUCAAUAUCCACCCAAAAAGCUAAAAUGGUUUUAUGUAAAACCAAAUUGUCAAAACAACAACUAUAAUGUCUGAACAUCUUGAUGAAUCUAGUUGGGCAAAUGAUGAAUCUGACAUGGUGUAAAUGGGUAAUUUGCAUCUAAAUAUCUUAAUGUUAAUAUCACCUUGGAAAAUUGAUGCCCUAAGUUCUAUGGAUUUUUUUGUUUGCUAGUUUGUUUCUGUGUUUUGUUCUCUGUUUUUUUGGAUCCAUGUAAUCUAAAAUGGCCUUAGCAUUAAAAUUAUCAUAGUACUAGAAUGAACUGGUUAUUGCUACAUGGAUGGAUCACUUGAUUUGUGAUUGAAUUAUAUUAUAUUGUCCCUUCAUUGGCACUAAUGACACUGCCAUAGCUGAAUUUAGAAAGGAGGUAAUAGAAAUGUUGGUUGUGAUUGCGAGAGAUUGAAGAAUCCUGACCCGAAUAACAGAAAUUUAAAGUUUAUUAAGUAGUUUUGGGAAAGCGUACUUUCACAUAUUCAUUGCUGAAUUUCAUUUUAAUGGCAAAAUAGUGUGUUGAGUUAAUAAUGCCUUUUUAGCAUUGAUUCCAAAGACUGAGAAUUCUGUGGCGUUAAAAAAUUCCAAUGUCAAAAUAGUGUGUUGAGCUACCAAUGCGUUUUUAGCAUAGAUUCCAAAGAUUGAGAAUUCGGUAACGCUAAACUAUUCUAAUGGCAAAAUAGUGUGUAGAGCUAAUAAUGCUUUUUAAGCAUUGAUUCCAAAGAUUGAGAAUUCGGUGACGCUAACCUAUUCUAUUGGCAAAAUAGUGUGUAGAGCUAAUAAUGCUUUUUUAGCAUUGAUUCUAAAGAUUGAGAAUUCGGCGACGCUAAACUAUUCUAAUGGCAAAAUAGUAUGUAGAGCUAAUAAUGCUUUUCUAGCAUUGAUUCCAAAGAUUGAGUAUUCGGUGACGCUAAAGUAUUCUAAUGGCAAAAUAGUGUGUAGAGAUAAUAAUGCUUUUUUUAGCAUUGAUUCCAAAGAUUGAGAAUUCAGUGACGCUAAACUAUUCUAAUGGCAAAAUAGUGUGUAGAGCUAAUAAUGCUUUUUUAGCAUUGAUUCCAAAGAUUGAGAAUUCGGCAGCGCUAAACUAUUCUAAUGGGAAAAUAGUGUGUAGAGCUAAUAAUGCGUUUUUAGCAUUUAUUCCAAAGAUUGAGAAUUCGUUGAUGUUAAACUAUUCUAAUGGCAAAAUAGCGUGUAGAGCUAAUAAUGCUUUUUUAGCAUUGAUUCCAAAGAUAGAGAAUUCGUUGACGCUAAACUAUUCUAUUGGCAAAAUAGUGUGUAGAGCUAAUAAUGCAUUUUUAGCAUUGAUUCCAAAGAUUGAGAAUUUGGUGACGCUAAACUAUUCUAAUGGCAAAAUAGUGUGUAGAGCUAAUAAAGCUUUUUUAGCAUUGAUACCAAAGAUUGUGAAUUCGGUGACGCUAAACUAUUCUAAUGGAAAAACAGUGUGUAGAGCUAAUAAUGCUUUUUUUAGCAUUGAUUCCAAAGAUUGAGAAUUCGGUGACGCUAAACUAUUCUAAUGGAAAAAUAGUGUGUAGAGCUAAAAUAUGAUUAUUAUUCCAAAGACUGAGAAUUCGGUGGCGCUAAACUAUUCUAAUGGGAAAAUAGUGUGUAGAGCUAAUAAUGCGUUUUUAGCAUUGAUUCCAAAGAUUGAGAAUUUGGUGAAUCUAAACUAUUCUAAUGGCAAAAUAGUGUGUAGGGCUAAUAAUGCUUUUUAGCAUUGAUUCCAAAGAUUGAGAAUUCGGUGACGCUAAACUAUUUUAUUGGCAAAUUAGUGUGUAGAGCUAAUAAUGCUUUUUUAGCAUUGAUUCCAAAGAUUGAGAAUUCGGUGACGCCAAACUAUUCUAUUGGAAAUAGUGUGUAGAGUUAAUAAUGCUUUUUUAGCAUUGAUUCCAAUGAUUGAGAAUUCUGUGGCGCUAAACUAUUCUAAUGGCAAAAAUAGUGUGUAGAGUUAAUAAUGCGAUUUUAGCAUUGAUUCCAAAGAUUGAGAAUUUGAUGAAGCUAAACUAUUUUAGGUCGAUAUCUUUAAUUGACAGCAUGUGGCUAAAAAAGUUAUCUUUGGUUUACAAUUUGCAGUCUUAAAGGGCCGACAUAUGGUAGAUGGAAUACUCAUAGCAAAUGAGUUAGUAAAUGAGGUUCAAUGUGGAUUUAAAUAAAGUAUAUGACUUUGUGGACUGGAAAUAAUUGAAUUUUGACAGGAUUUAACGUUAAAUGGAGAUGCUGGAUUUCAGAGUGUCCUUGAUUAUCAACUAUUUUAGUGUUGGUCAGUGGAAGUCUCACAAAAAAAUCUGAAGAUGGUAAAGUUCUAUAGCCUUUUUAUAUUUUUGAUUGUUUAGUUCCAUAGAGGUGAUGUUUCAUUUCUCGCAUAUGCAAUAUGCAAAUGAUACCUUAAUUGUCGGAAAAAGUUGGCAACACAUGAGGGCCAUGAUGGCAAAUUUACUGUUAUUUGAGUUAAUAUCCGGUCUUUAAAUAAACUUUCAUUAAAGUCUUUUGGUUUGAGUCAGAGGAAUCAGCAAAUCAAAUUUUAAGGUUGGAAAUACUUGGAUGUUUCUGAUGGUUGUAAUCAUAUAAGAAAGAAGUUAUUGAAAUUGGUGAUUAAUAUAGUGUCGGGAAGAUUGUCCAAGUGGAAUAAUUAGUGCUUAUCUACAUGUGGCCGAAUCAUCCUUCUAAACAUUGUUAUACGCAUUACCGGUAAAUUUCAUUUCUUUCUUUAAAGCUCUGUUAGGUAUUAUUUUUAAUUUGAUUCUCUUUAAAAAAUUCUUGUGGGUUGGAAGAUUGGAAAGCAUAAAAAUAAGUCGGGUUCAUUGGAAAAAGGUAUGCUAGGAAAGAGAGGAAGGGGGGAUCUAGGUAUAUAAAAUUCAAGGGUGUUCAACCUAACUCUAUAAGGAAAGUGUGUGGGUUAAGAUUUUAAAAAGUAAAUAUGGUGAAAUCUUUGGUAAAUUGAGUAAAAUUGAGAGAAUGGGGUCAGCUUGGUGGCAGGACAUAAAAAUAUUAGAAAGUGGGUCGUGGGACUUUAAAUUACAUUGGUUCUUUGAAAGGUUGUGCAUGAAAUUAGGAAGAGGAGUUGAAUCACAUUUUUGGACUCCUUGGAUAAAAGGAAUAAUCUUGAAAAAUAGGUAAGUGGUACAAAUUAGUUGAUAAUGCUUUUUUAGCAUUGAUUCCAAAGAUUGAGAAUUCGGUGACGCUAAACUAUUCUAAUGGCAAAGUAGUAUGUAAAGCUAAUAAUUCUUUUGUUAGCAUUGAUUCCAAAGAUUGAGAAUUCUGUGGCGCUAAACUAUUCUAAUGGGAAAAUAGUGUGUAUAGCUAAUAAUGCGUUUUUAGCAUUGAUUCCAAAGUUUGAGAAUUUGGUGAAGCUAAACUAUUCUAAUGGCAAAAUAGUGUGUAGAGCUAAUAAUGCUUUUUUUAGCAUUGAUUCCAAAGAUUUAGAAUUUUGUGGCGCUAAGCUAUUCUAAUGGGAAAAUAGUAUGUAGAGCUAAUAAUGUGUUUUUAACAAUGAUUCCAAAGAUUAGGAAUUUGAUGAAACUAAACUAUUUUAGGUCGAUAUCUUUAAUUGGCCGCAUGUGGCUAAAAAACUUAUCUUUGAUUUACAAUUUGCGGACUUAAAGGGCCGACAUAUGGUAGAUGGAAUACUCAGCAAAUGAGUUAGUAAAUGAUGUUCAAAGUGGAUUUAUAAAAAUAUAUGUUUUUGUGGAUUGGAAAUAUUUGGACUUUGAUAGGAUUUAACGUUAACUCGAGAUGCUGGGUUUUAGAGUGUCUUUGAUCAUCAACUAUUUUAGCGUUGGUCGAUGGAAGUCUCACAAAAAAAAUCCGAUGAUGGGAAACGUCUAUCGCCUUUUUAUAUUUUUGAGUGUUUAGUUCCAUAGAGGGGAUAUUCACUUCUGGCAUAAGCAGUAUUUUUGAGCAAAUCAAACUUUAAGGUUGGAAAUACUUGGAUGUUUCUGAUGGUUGUAAUCAUAGAAGAAAGAAGUUAUUGAAACUGGUGAUUAAUAUAGUGUCAGGAAGAUUGUCCAAGUGGAAUAAUUCGUGCUUAUCUACAUGUGGCCGAAUCAUCCUUCUAUUUCAUUUCUUUCUUUAAAGAUUUGUUAGAUAUUAUUUCUAAUUUGAUUCUCUCUUUAAAAAUUUCUUGUGGGUUGGAAGAUUGGAAAGCAUAAAAAUAAGUUGGGUUCAUUGGAAAAAGGGUGUUCAACCUAACUCUCUUGGUGGCAGGACCAAAAAAUGGUAGAAAGUGGGUCGUGGGACUUUAUAUUACAUUGGUUCUUUGAAAGGUUGUGCAUGAAAUUAGGAAGGGGAGUUUAAUCACAUUUUUGGACUCCUUGGUUAAAAGGAAUAAUCUUGAAAAACUGGUUAGUGGGUCUGUUUGAUUUAAUUGAGAAUAAAAGGUUUCAUUUAAGUAAUUGCUGAUUCAUUUGACUGAGAAUGAAGAAUUAUUCAUUUCAUUUGACUGAUUUUCUUGUAAAAUCAUGUGGCAAUUGUAUUUUAAAGUGACAUGAGAUUAUAGUUGUCUAAUGUUGCAGAGUUGACAAGUGAUAAUACAUAGAGGGAAAAAGAAAAGCGAUAUGAUGAUAGAAAUUCAUUUGUUUGUCAAUCCACUGAUAUUCUUUGAUGUAAUUCAUGAAUCCCGACAGGUUCUGAUAGCUUUCAUAUUUCUCUCUUGUGCUUGAUUUGUUUAUUUCUUGAGUUUCUCAAUUUUGCGAUGUAACUUUACCAAUUAUUUUUAGUUUUUGAAUUGUUAUCAAAAUUCGGCAGAACUGAUAGAUUUCAUGUUAAUUUGCAAAAGAUUCACAUGGUCCAAAUUAGAUGUGGCUCAAUAAUGAGUUGUAUUGGCAGAUUUAUAUUUUCAAAGGGAUGGUUAGUCAAAUGCCUAGAAUGUUUUCAAUAGUGUUUGGAUAAAACUAGUCAAUGUCCAAUUCUAAUUCUCGAGAAAAGGAGGAAUUGUGCACCAAAACCUUUCUGUGUACUCAAAUGUUGGAGUGAGUUGAAGUUCAGGGAUGGCGAUAUUCAUAUUGAAAGAAAAACUCAAGUGACUUGGAAAAAAGGUGAAAGUACAUCAUUUUCUGAAGAGGAGAUCAAAGACAAAAGAGUAGCAUCAACACAUUUACUUGAAAUAUUGAAUCUGAAUUGUGGCAUAUUGUGACAAAAAUCACGCUCAAAAUAGCUUAGAAAAGGGGAUGCAAAUUCAAAGUUCUUUCUCGGGUGCCGGGUAAAUAGAAGAAAAGUUAAUAAGAUUAAUUCGAUUAAAUAGAUUGGGUUUCAAGAGAUAAAGGGUGAAGUUUUCAAUUAUUUCCCAAGUUUAUUCAGAAAACAAAAGAGGGAAAGACUGGUUAUGCAUAAUUUUGAAUUUAAACACAUUAGAGAUGAUAAGCUUAGAGAGGAGGAAAUAAGAAAUGUUGUUUGGAAUUGGGAGAGUUCGAACAGCCCCGACUCAGAUAGCAUACAUUUUGGGUUUAUUAAGGAGUUUUAAGAUGUAACUAAAGCGGACUUUCAUAGUCUCAUUGUUGAAUCUCAUUCGAUUGGUAAAAUUGUGCAUGGAGCUAAAUAAAGGUUUUUAGCAUUAAUUACCAAGAUUAAGAAUUUGGUUAAGCUAGACGGUUUUACGUCGAUAUCUUUAAUUGGCAGAAUGUAGAAAGUCUUAGCAAAGCUAUUGACAAAUAAAUUUAAGGUUGGAAAUACUUGGAUGUUUCUGAUGGUUAUAAUCAUAUAAGAAAGAAGUUAUUGAAAUUGGUGAUUAAUAUAGUGUCAGGAAGAUUGUUCAAGUGGAAUAAUUAGUGCUUAUCUACAUGUGGCCGAAUCAUGCUUCUAAACUUUGUUAUACGCAUUACGUGUCUAUUUCAUUUCUUUCUUUAAAGCUCUGUUAGAUAUUAUUUCUAAUUUGACUCUCUCUUUAAAAAUUUCUCGUGGGUUGGAAGAUUGGAAAACAUAAAAAUAAUUCAAGGGUGUUCAACCAAACUCUAUUAGGAAAGUGUGUGGGUUAAGGUUUUAAAAAGUAAAUAUGGUGAAAUAUUUGGUAAAGUGAGUAAAAUUGAGAGAAUGAGGUCAGCUUGGUGGUAGGACAUAAAAAUGGUAGAAAGUGGGUCGUGGGACUUUAAAUUAAGGUGGUUCUUUGAAACGUUGUGCAUGAAAUUAGGAAGUGGAGUUGAAUCACAUUUUUGGACUCCUUGAAUAAAAGGAAUAAUCUUGAAAAAGAGGUUAGUGGUACUGUUUGAUUUAUAAUCGAGAACAAAAAGGCUUCAUUUAAGGCAUUGGUGAUUCAUUUGACUGAGAAUGUAGAAUUAUUCAUUUCAUUUGACUGGUUUUCUUGUAAAAUCAUGUGGCAAUAGUAUUUUAAGGGGACAUGUGAUUAUAGUUGUCUAAUGUUGCAGAGUUGGCAAGUGAUAAUACAUAGAGGGAAAAGAAAAGCGAUAUGAUAGAAAUUCAUUGUCUGUCAAUCCACUGAUAUUCUUUGAUGUAUUUCAUGAAUCCCGACAGGUUCUGAUCGCAUUCAUAUUUUCCUCUUGUGCUUGAUUUGUUUAUUUCUUGAAGAAAAGCAGGGGCUAUAUUGAAUCUAUUGUCAUUGUAUUUCGUCAGUCCUCUUCCAAAUUCAGAUAGAGAUUCGAGAACAUUGCGACUAGUCCGAUGAAACUCGCAAGUGCAGUAUAGCUCGAGAAAUGAGAUACAUGUCGCGACUGGUUCAAACAAGAUGAUGCAACUCAGAAGCUCGACACAGGAUGUGACUAUAAAUUGGAAGGACUCACAAUCUCCAAUACCCGAAUGUGCAGUUGCAUAGAGCUGCUGUGAAUGUCUUGCGUCACUCAAAGCUCCCAGAUCGGGAUGAAAUCGACUCACAAUGAAAACCAUAGUGGCAAUGUGAUGCCGAUGUCGACGAUAAAGUUUGUUAGGGCAGAUCUGUGAGUGGAGGUGAGACAUGAAUCCCCAUGUUAAUACUGCUGAUACCGCCAUUUGGAAGAUAAGUAUUUCUCACACAUUCUAUUCACAUAGUAUGAUUAACUAUUAUUUGUUUACAAUGCUUUGUUUGAUGAUCCAAUGUCAUAUAACUCAACUUACAAUGUCUAUGUGUUAUCUAUAUGUUGUGGUGUCGAUUUCUGUAUGUCUUGCAAUGCAUUUUGAUUUUAGAGUUACAUUUGGAAGAUUGUGAAAAUUAUUGGGACUAACAGGAUGGCUGGGAAAUCAAAUCAAAUAUCUCCUGUCUCUAUUCAUCUCAGCAUCUACCUGCCAAGUGUUGUCAAUUUGAUGCCGGUAGAUCUGCCUAUUUUAGCAAAGGUCGCAGUAGAGGGACAACCAGAAGGUUGUUUAUACUAGGAUAGUGGGUGAACUUAUACGCUAUUUGUAUGACGUGGUUAUAAGUUUGAUUACUACUUUUAAAUGUUUGUAGUAAGCAUCCGUGAUGACAACGACUACAUAUCGAGUCUCAUAGGAGGAGAAAUAAAGAUUGCAAUGAUCGGAAAUGACAAGUCAAGCUCUAAUGUCAUCAUAAAAGAGUCGGAUUGAAAAUAACAAUGACAGGUCAGCGUUUCUUUUGCUUCUGCUUCUCGAAUAUGAAUAGAAGUGUGUCAUCCUAUGUUCCAAUUACAAUAGCUUCAGAUGAUGGAGUAUCGAGGUGUCUUGGAAUUGGCUAAAGUAUAAAGCUCUUAGAUUUAAUUACCCUAUUGUUAAUUAGAUAUUAAAUCCAUUUGGUUGCUUACAAACUUACAAUGUUGAUGGAGUAUAGAGAUCAAUUCUAAAAAAUUACUGAUCGUCAAUACGUCUGUUUGGUCGUAGUUAGUGUUUGAAUUAUUAAGUAAUUCUAAUAUUUAUUCGCGUGGUUUGUUAGAAUGCUACUUGGUGUUGGUUUUCUAUCAACCUUGGUUGGUGGAGCUUAUUCGGGACAUGACCUACUAACUAUUUUUUUGGAUAAUCUUUGGAAGGAGCAUUUUUAUCUUUGCUGUAGUGCACAAUAGCCUAUUUUUCUUUGGCUCAUGUUCUGUUUUUCUGUUUGGGGAAUAGGAGGCGUGUAGGGGUGGACAAGUUGUAACUCAUAUUUUGUUUUUCUUUUGGGAGCAGUAUCUCAUGCAUGAGAUUUGUAUUCUGGCAUAUCUUAUGCCUUACACCUUUUCUUUAAUUUAAUGUUACCGCCUUUUCUAAAAAAAUAUUGAUAUCCAAUCAAUAUCCACCCAAAAUAUUGGUGUGAAACGCAUUAUGCAUUAUGAAGUUUUCAAUUUUUUCUUGAGUCUAUCUAGAGACAAAAAGAGGGAAAGACCAGAAUUUUGAAUUUAAAGGCAUUAGAGAUGAAGAAAAUGAUGUUCUCAAAGCUGAACUUAGAGACGAGGAAAUAAGAAAUGUUUGGGAUUCUGAGAGUUUGAAGUUCCUUGAUUCAUAGCAUAGAUUUCAGUUUUAUUAUUGAGCUUUAGGAUGUAAUUAAAACAGACUUUCAUAUUCAUUGUUGAAUUUAAUUCAAAUGGCGUAAUAGUGCGUUGAGCUAUUAAUUCUUUUUAUUCUUGAAUCCAAAGAUAAAGAAUCUAGUGAAGCUAAGCCAAUAUCUUUAAUUGACAGCAUCUAGAAAGUGAAGCUAGGCCAAUAUCUUUAAUUGGCAGCAUCUAGAAAAUCUUAGUAAUGUUAUAUGCAAAUAGAUUGAAGGUGAAGGAUAUAAAAGCUAUCUCUGAUUCGUAAAUCACCAAAUGCCAAAUAGGAGGAAAAAAGAACUGUGAACCCUGAUUCGCAAUUCGCCGUAGGCCAAAUAGGAGGAAAAAAAGAUGUUAAAAGUAGAAUUUGAAAAAGCAUAUGAAUUUGUCGACUAAAAAUAGUCCCAAAAGUCUAUGAUAUUUAUUUGUGUUUUGUUUUCUGUUUUUUAUCCAUCUAAUCUAAUCCAAAUUGGCCGUAUCAUUAAAUUUAUCAUUGUACCAGAAUGAAUUUGUCAUAGCUGGAUCACUUGAUUUGCGAUAGAAUUAUAUUAUAUUAAUAUUAUUGUUCCUUUAUUGGGAUUAAAUUCGUUGGUUGUGCAAGAUAUUGUGUUCUAGUUUUAAUCAUUUGCUUAUUACUUGAAGUCACAGACAACGUUGGAUCUAGUUCUAGGAUUGGUUUUUUAAAAUCUUUUUGGUUAUUUUAAGGGGCUCUGUUGAUUUUGUUAAAAUAUUAAGUGGCUGGCCAAAGUAAAAUGAGACUUAUAAGACUAAUCAAGGCGAUCAUGGUUUUGAUUAAUUGGUUUGGAUUAAUCAUUGUUGGAAAAAUGUUGCUAUGGAGUAAAUUGAUGGAGUUGAUCAAAUAAAAAACAGGUCAGGUGCUAGAUGUUGCGUGAUAGGAGAUUUUAACAGUUCUUUCACACGUGCCUCUUAAAUAGAAGAAAAAUUAUGAGAUUAAUUGUAUAGAAGAAAAAUUGAUGAGAUUAAUUGUAUAGAAGUAGAUGGAACAAAAUAGAUAGGGGUUCAUGAGAUAAAGGAUGAAGUUUUUUAUUAUUUCUCAGGUCUAUUUAGAUAGCAAAAGAGGAAAAGAUUGGUUAUGCAGAAUUUUGAAUUUAAACACAUUUGAGAUGAAGAUAAUCAUUUUCUCAUAGAUGAAUUUCGUGGAGGAAUUAAAGUAGACUUUCAUUUGAAUGGCAAAAUAGUGCAUGAAGCUAAUCAUUUUUUUUAGCAUUGAUUCCAAAGAUAAAAAAUCUGGUGAAGCUGGACCAUUUUAGGCCGACAUCUUUAAUUGGUAGCAUGUAGAAAGUUUUAAUAAAGCUAUUGGCAAAUAGAUUGGAGGUGGUGGCUAAAGUUUUCUUUGAUUUGCAAAAUUAUCUUUGAUUUGCAAUUCUAAUAGAUGGUAGGUGGAAUACUCGUAGCAAAUGAGUUAGUAGAUGAUGCAAAUAGGAGGAAAAAAGAAGUGUUGAUGUGUAAAGUGGAUUUUAAAAAAGUGUAUGAUUUUGUGGAUUGGAAAUAUUUAAGAACUUAAUGAUGGAAAAGAAAAAGGGAUUCAAUGAUAAAUGGAAAGGCCAGAUUUUAGAGUGUCGUCAAACUUUAACUAUUUCAGUGUUGGUCAUCAGAAGCCUCGCAAAAGAAUUUGAAGUUAGUAGAGAACUAAGGCAAGUUGAUCCUCUACUGCCUUUCCUAUUUUUGAAAGCAGCUGAAGGUUUUAACUUGCUAAUGUCAAAAGGAGUAACUUCCUAUACAUAAGACGAAGUAGUAAAUGUGUUAGAUUGUAAGGUUUGAACUACAACAUUCAAAUAUUUGGACAUUCCUAUGGGUGGUUAGGGUGGUAAUCAUAGAUGAAAGGAGUUAUGAAAACUGGUGAUUGAUGCAAUAUCGAGAAGACUGUCCAAGUGGAAUAAAUGCCGCUUAUCUAUUGGUGGUAGAAUUGUCCUUCUUGAAAUCUGUCUUAUACACAUUACUUCCUUAUACACAAUUUUGUAACUUCCUGAACUCUGAUUUAUUUUUCUACACUUGUGGCAUAAUUUCUUGUAAUCACUUAUCAUAUUUUAGGUAUGAUCUAUAAAUCAAGAGGAGAUAUCUCUUAGAUUAAGACAUUUGUUUAAAGAGUUCUCAUGAGUUGUAAAUGAUUAAAAUUGACUAUGUGUUAAAAAUUGUUUAUAGUUAAAUCCCAAGGUUUUCUCAUUGGCUAAUGGAUGCAAGCCUUGUUUGUUUUAGACUAAACUAGGCUAAACUCUAGUGAAAUGGAAAGAAAAUUUGAAGAAAUUAAAGAGAAAGUUCAAAGAAAUGCGCUGAAGUAAGAUUCCAAAGAUAAGUUGAAUUGGUGUGAAAUAACUUAUUUGGUAAAGGAAGCCUAUUCCUCAAUUUUGAUGGAAAGCACAAGAGAUGGUAUGAGGAAGUUUACAGCCGCGUGGAGUAAUCUGAUCCUGCUUAAAGUAUUGAUACUAGUUUGUAGAAUAUGGCAAAAUAGAGUCCCUACUUAAGACAACCAGGUUAAGAGGGGGGUUUUGGAUGAGUCUCAAGUUACGUAUUUGUUUGGAUGCGAAAAAAAGUUAUUGUUUCUCACAUUUUCUUCAGGUGGCUGAUAGUAUCUACUUUGGGAAAUUUUAGAAUGCAAUCAAUGCAUAAUUCAACUUUGGGAAAUUUUUGGCAGUUUAGGGAUUUGUUGGAUAACGGAAGGGGGGAAAAGAAGUUCAACAUUAUCUGGUUUGCUUGUAUUUUGUGUGUUUGGAAAGGUCAUAGUGAUAAGAUAUUUAGAAACAAAGACACCACCACCGAAGAUCGAUUGGAAACAAUUCAAAUGAUGUCUUAAAAUUGGCUAAAGUAUAAAGCUCUUAGAUUUAAUUAUCCUAUUGUUAAUUGGAUAUCAAAUCCAUUUGGUUGCUGUAAUGUUGAUAAAGUAUCGAGAUCAAUUCUAAAAAAUUACUGAUCGUCAAUAGGUCUGUUUGGUCGGAGUAAGUGUUUGAAUUAUUAAGCAAUUCUCAUUAUUCUUGUGGUUAGUUAGGAUGCUAGUUAGUGUUUGUUUUUCCAUCAAUCUUGGUUGGUGGAGCUUAUUGGGGACAUGACCUGCUGAGCAUUUUUAUUUUUUCUGUAGUGCAUAAUAGCUUUUUUUUUAUUUGGCUCAUAUUCUGGUUUUUUGUUUGGGGAAUAUGAGGCGUGUGGAAGUGGACAAGCUGUAACUCAUAUUUUGUGUUGCUUUCUGGAGUAGUAUCUCAUGCAUGGGAUUUGUAUUCUAAUGGCAUAUAUUAUGCCUUACAACUUUUUCUUGAAUUUAAUAUUACGGCCUUUUAAAAAAAUAAUUGAUAUUCAAUCAAUAUCCACCCAAAAAGCUAAAAUGGUUUUAUGUAAAACCAAAUUGUGAAAACAACAACUAGAAUGUCUGAAAUAGUUAUCAGAAUUGGGCAAAUGAUGAAUCUGAAAUGGUGUAAAUGGGUAAUUUGCAUCUGAAUAUCUUGAUGUUAAUAUCACCUUAGAAAACGGAUGCCCUAAGUUUUAUGGAUUUUUUUGUUUGCUAGUUUGUUUCUGUGUUUUGUUCUCUGUUUUUUUGGAUCCAUCUAAUCUAAAAUGACCUUAGCAUUAAAAUUAUCAUAGUACUAGAAUGAAUUGGUUAUUGCUACAUGGAUGGAUCACUUGAUUUGUGAUUGAAUUAUAUUAUAUUGUCCCUUCAUUGGCACUAAUGACACUGUCAUAGCUGAAUUUAGAAAGGAGGUAAUAGAAAUGUUGGUUGUGAUUGCGAGAGAUUGAAGAAUCCUGACCCGAAUAAUAGAAAUUUCAAGUUUAUUAAGUAGUUUUGGGAAAGCGUACUUUCACAUAUUCAUUGCUGAAUUUCAUUUUAAUGGCAAAAUAGUGUGUUGAGUUAAUAAUGCUUUUUUAGCAUUGAUUCCAAAGAUUGAGAAUUCUGUGGCGUUAAAAAAUUCCAAUGUCAAAAUAGUGUGUUGAGAUAAUAAUGCGUUUUUAGCAUAGAUUCCAAAGAUUGAGAAUUCGGUGACGCCAAACUAUUCGAAUGGCAAAAUAGUUUGUAGAGCUAAUAAUACUUUUUAAGCAUUGAUUCCAAAGAUUGAGAAUUCGGUGACGCUAACCUAUUCUAUUGGCAAAAUAGUGUGUAGAGCUAAUAAUGCUUUUUUAGCAUUGAUUCCAAAGAUUGAGAAUUCGGUGACGCUAAACUAUUCUAAUGGCAAAAUAGUGUGUAGAGCUAAUAAUGCUUUUUUAGCAUUGAUUCCAAAGAUUGAGAAUUCGGUGACGCUAAAGUAUUCUAAUGGCAAAAUAGCGUGUAGAGCUAAUAAUGCUUUUUUAGCAUUGAUUCCAAAGAUUGAGAAUUCAGUGACGCUAAAUUAUUCUAAUGGCAAAAUAGUGUGUAGAGCUAAUAAUCUGUUUUUAGCAUUUAUUCCAAAGAUUGAGAAUUCGAUGACGCUAAACUAUUCUAAUGGCAAAAUUGUGUGUAGAGCUAAUAAUGCUUUUUUAGCAUUGAUUCCAAAGAUUGAGAAUUCGGUGACGCUAAACUAUUCUUUUGGCAAAAUAGUGUGUAGAGCUAAUAAUGCAUUUUUAGCGUUGAUUCCAAAGAUUGAGAAUUCGGUGACGCUAAACUAUAUUAAUGGAAAAACAUUGUGUAGAGCUAAUAAUGCUUUUUUUAGCAUUGAUUCCAAAGAUUGAGAAUUCGGUGACGCUAAACUAUUCUAAUGGAAAAAUAGUGUGUAGAGCUUAAAUAUGAUUAUUUAGCAUUUAUUCCAAAGAUUGAGAAUUCGGUGGCGCUAAACUAUUCUAAUGGGAAAAUAGUGUGUAGAGCUUAUAAUGUGUUUUUAGCAUUGAUUCCAAAGAUUGAGAAUUUGGUGAAGCUAAACUAUUCUAAUAGAAAAAUAGUGUGUAGGGCUAAUAAUGCUUUUUAGCAUUGAUUCCAAAGAUUGAGAAUUCGGUGACGCAAAACUAUUCUAUUGGCAAAUUAGUGUGUAGAGCUAAUAAUGCUUUUUUAGCAUUGAUUCCAAAGAUUGAGAAUUCGGUGAUGCCAAACUAUUCUAUUGGCAAAAUAGUGUGUAGAGUUAAUAAUGCUUUUUAAGCAUUGAUUCCAAUGAUUGAGAAUUCUGUGGCGCUAAACUAUUCUAAUGGCAAAAUAGUGUGUAGAGCUAGUAAUGCGUUUUUAGCAUUGAUUCCAAAGAUUGAGAAUUUGAUGAAGCUAAACUAUUUUAGGUCGAUAUCUUUAAUUGACAGCAUGUGGCUAAAAAAGUUAUCUUUGAUUUACAAUUUGCAGUCUUAAAGGGCCGACAUAUGGUAGAUGGAAUACUCAUUGCAAAUGAGUUAGUAAAUGAGGUUCAAAGUGGAUUUAAAUAAAGUAUAUGACUUUGUGGACUGGAAAUAUUUGAAUUUUGACAGGAUUUAACGUUAAAUGGAGAUGCUGGAUUUCAGAGUGUCCUUGAUCAUCAACUAUUUUAGCGUUGGUCAGUGGAAGUCUCACAAAAAAAUCCGAAGAUGGUAAAGUUCUAUCGCCUUUUUAUAGUUUUGAGUGUUUAGUUCCAUAGAGGUGAUGUUUCAUUUCUCGCAUAUGCAGUAUGCAAAUGAUACCUUAAUUGUGGAAAAAAGUUGGCAACACAUGAGGGCCAUGAUGGCAAAUUUACUGUUAUUUGAGUUAAUAUCCGGUCUUUAAAUAAACUUUCAUAAAAGUCUUUUGGUUUGAGUCAGAUGAAUCAGCAAAUCAAAUUUUAAGGUUGGAAAUACUUGGAUGUUUCUGAUGGUUGUAAUCAUAUAAGAAAGAAGUUAUUGAAAUUGGUGAUUAAUAUAGUGUCAGGAAGAUUGUCCAAGUGGAAUAAUUAGUGCUUAUCUACGUGUGGCCGAAUCAUCCUUCUAAACAUUGUUAUACGCAUUACCGGUAAAUUUCAUUUCUUUCUUUAAAGCUCUGUUAGGUAUUAUUUUUAAUUUGAUUCUCUCUCUUUAAAAAUUUCUUGUGGGUUGGAAGAUUGGAAAGCAUAUAAAUAAGCCGGGUUCAUUGGAAAAAGGUAUGCUAGGAAAGAGAGGAAGGGGGGAUCUAGGUAUAUAAAAUUCAAAGUUGUUCAACCAAACUCUAUUAGGAAAGUGUGUGGGUUAAGAUUUUAAAAAGUAAAUAUGGUGAAAUCUUUGGUAAAUUGAGUAAAAUUGAGAGAAUGGGGUCAGCUUGGUGGCAGGACAAAAAAUGUUAGAAAGUGGGUCGUGGGACUUUAAAUUACAUUGGUUCUUUGAAAGGCUGUGCAUGAAAUUAGGAAGAGGAGUUGAAUCACAUUUUCGGACUCCUUGGAUAAAAGGAAUAAUCUUGAAAAAUAGGUAAGUGGUACAAAUUAGUUGAUAAUGCUUUUUAAGCAUUGAUUCCAAAGAUUGAGAAUUCGGUGACGCUAAACUAUUCUAAUGGCAAAAUAGUAUGUAAAGCUAAUAAUUCUUUUUUUAGCAUUGAUUCCAAAGGUUGAGAAUUCUGUGGCGCUAAACUAUUCUAAUGGGAAAAUAGUGUGUAGAGCUAAUAAUGCUUUUUUAGCAUUGAUUCCAAAGAUUAAGAAUUCGGUGACGCUAAACUAUUCUAAUGGCAAAAUUGUGUGUAGAGCAAAUAAUGCUUUUUUAGCUUUGAUUCCAAAGAUUGAGAAUUCGGUGACGCUAAACUAUUCUAAUGGGAAAAUAGUGUGUAGAGCUAAUAAUGCGUUUUUAGCAUUGAUUCCAAAGAUUGAGAAUUUGGUGACGCUAAACUAUUCUAAUGGAAAAAUUGUGUGUAGUGCUAAUAAUGCUUUUUUAGCAUUGAUUCCAAAGAUUGAGAAUUCGGUGACGCUAAACUAUUCUAAUGGCAAAAUUGUGUGUUAAGCUAAUAAUGCUUUUUUAGCAUUGAUUCCAAAGAUUGAGAAUUCGGUGACGCUAAACUAUUCUAAUGGGAAAAUAGUGUGUAGAGCUAAUAAUGCAUUUUUAGCAUUGAUUCCAAAGAUUGAGAAUUUGGUGACGCUAAACUAUAAAAAUAGUGUGUAGUGCUAAUAAUUCUUUUUUAGAAAUGGUUCCAAAGAUUGAGAAUUCUGUGACGCUAAACUAUUCUAAUGGCAAAGUAGCGUGUAGAGCUAAUAAUGUGUUUUUAAUAUUGAUUCCAAAGAUUGAGAGUUCGGUGAAGCGAAACUAUUCUAAUGGGAAAAUACUGUGUAGAGCUAAUGGCAAAAAUUUCUAAUUUGUUUAUCUAUAUGUGGCAUUUGUAUUUUAAGAUGACAUGAGAUUAUAGUUGUCUAAUGUUGCAGAGUUGACAAGUGAUAAUACAUAGAAGGAAAAGAAAAGCUAUAUGAUGAUAAAAAAUUAAUUGUUCUUCCAUGUAACUAUAGUAAUUUGAAUUGGUAAAGUUUUUAACUUUAUCCUUAAAGUUUAGUAUCUUUUUAUUUAACUUAAUUGGUUUCUGUUUCUGGGGUAUUCUUCUGGUGGGAGCUGGUUUUUAUGGUAGAAGUACUUGUAAUUGGGGUCCAUAUGUCUCUAUUAUAAGGUUGUUAUCUUUGAUAGUUAAAAGGGUACUUGUGUUUUUAUUUAAUGCAAGGUUAUCUAUAGAUAAAGACCUACUUAUUUUUGUUGCUUCUGAUGUUGCAACUGACCCAAUCUGACCCAAA
Molecule: long non-coding RNA, 17381 nt
Organism: Vicia villosa (hairy vetch)
Lineage: Eukaryota; Viridiplantae; Streptophyta; Magnoliopsida; Fabales; Fabaceae
Exons: 4
Source: RefSeq, a predicted model, not a curated record